Molecule: ribosomal RNA, 499 nt
Filed under: uncultured bacterium
Lineage: Bacteria
Description: bacterial SSU rRNA
Rfam family: Bacterial small subunit ribosomal RNA
Source: RNAcentral
CAGGCCUAACACAUGCAAGUCGUACGAGAACUCUUCUGCUUGCAGAGAUAGUAAAGUGGCGCACGGGUGAGUAACGCGUGGGUAAUCUACCUCCAAUCGGGGAUAACCCGCCGAAAGGCGAGCUAAUACCGGAUAAUAUCUUUAAACCUCGGUUUUUAAGAUCAAAGGUGGUCUCUACAUGUAAGCUACUGUUGGAGAUGAGCCCGCGUACCAUUAGCUUGUUGGUAGGGUAAUGGCCUACAAGGCCGCGAUGGUUAGCUGGUCUGAGAGGAUGAUCAGCCACACUGGAAUGACACACGGUCCAGACUCCUACGGGAGGCAGCGGUGAGGAAUUUUGCGAAUGGGGGAAACCCUGACGCAGCAACGCCGCGUGAGUGAUGAAGGCUUUGGGUCGUAAAGCUCUGUCAAGUGGGAAGAACCUGCUCGAUGUUAACACCUCUAGCACUGACGGUACCACUAAAGGAAGCACCGUCUAACUCCGUGCCACAGCCGCGGUAAU